Molecule: non-coding RNA, 106 nt
Filed under: pig gut metagenome
Description: FMN riboswitch (RFN element)
Rfam family: FMN riboswitch aptamer (RFN element)
About the family: The RFN element is a highly conserved domain that is found frequently in the 5'-untranslated regions of prokaryotic mRNAs that encode for flavin mononucleotide (FMN) biosynthesis and transport proteins. This element is a metabolite-dependent riboswitch that directly binds FMN in the absence of proteins.
Source: RNAcentral
AUCUUCAGGGCAGGGUGAAAUUCCCGACCGGUGGUAUACCCCACGAACCGUUUGGUUGAACUAGUUUGAUUCUAGUGGCGACAGUAAAGUCUGGAUGAAAGAAGAG